GGCCGAUUCCAAAAGUGUAGGAACCGCGGGUACUCGGACUGGCCCGUGUGUGUUACAAUGGACGGACGAGAUUUAAGAUACAUCUCUCCAUCCAAUCUCAACCGUCAGUUUCAACCUAGCCAAUUCCACCUCUCGAGUUCGAGAAGCACCCUCUCAGACUUCAGUUUCUCAGAUUCUCACUCUCUUCAUUCUCUCAGAUUCUCACUCUCCCUCGACUCCCUCGACUCCCUCUCCCUAUCCCUUCCUUCCCUCGACUUCAACUCUCAUACUCUUUCACUCUCACUCACACACUUACUCUCACAGUGCUCACCGCCGUCGGCACCAACUCUCAGACUCUCACAGUGCUGUCGCGACCAACACAACGGCACCACCUUUGCCGUCGUGACCACCAUCAUCACCCCAUCACCACCACCGUUGCGACCACCUGCUGCUACUAAAAUUUAGGCACUCCAUGGACUGAAGAGGAACAUACUAACUACAUAGCUUGGUAAAGGUGAUUGGCUGACGAUAUAGGUGCCAGCAUUGGUCUUCUUUAAAUUGAAAAUAAGUGAUUUAGUUUAGACUUACAUUUACCAUGGGUAGUGAGUUUAAUUGUUCGCUCUUUAUGCCCAUUUGCUCUUUAUGGUUAAUUGUGUUCACUCUGUUCAUAGUUUUUUUGCUUAGUUAACUCAGCAUUUUAGUUACUAUAUAGUUAUUUGUUGGAGAUUUUGGUAGUGAGUUUUUUAAGUGAUCUGAUAAUUCGGUUUUCGACUUUGCGCAUAUUUAGGUGAACUUGAUCAUGGGUUUUGGAUUUUUUGUAUAAAUAAGGGAAUCUGAUAUUGGAUUAAUGAUAUUUGUGUAUAUUUUUGGUGAA
This is a non-coding RNA of Malus domestica (apple), 853 nucleotides long. The record is from RefSeq and is a predicted model, not a curated record. NCBI's taxonomy places the organism in Eukaryota, Viridiplantae, Streptophyta, Magnoliopsida, Rosales, Rosaceae.